RNAcentral lists this transfer RNA (88 nucleotides) under Arthrobacter sp. zg-Y1110. RNAcentral's name for it is "tRNA-Ser". It matches the Rfam family "tRNA". From Rfam's summary of the family: Transfer RNA (tRNA) molecules are approximately 80 nucleotides in length. Their secondary structure includes four short double-helical elements and three loops (D, anti-codon, and T loops). The record is from RNAcentral. Lineage: Bacteria; Bacillati; Actinomycetota; Actinomycetes; Micrococcales; Micrococcaceae.
GGAGGCCCCAGCCGAAUGAUGGCGGCGGCGCCGGAUUCGAAAUUCGGUUGCGGUAAAACGCGUGGGAGUUCGAACCUCCCGGUCUCCG